Tympanuchus pallidicinctus (lesser prairie-chicken) is the source of this 568-nucleotide long non-coding RNA. RefSeq lists it as uncharacterized. NCBI's taxonomy places the organism in Eukaryota, Metazoa, Chordata, Aves, Galliformes, Phasianidae. The record is from RefSeq and is a predicted model, not a curated record. The transcript is spliced from 3 exons.
AGUAAUUUUAUCACUGAGGGUGCCAACAGAGCCUAAGUUUUUUAUUUUGUAGUUUAUUUUUUAGUGGCUGGAUGCUUAUCUUGAGGAACAAAAUGAGAAAACAGUAGCAUUCUUUAUUAUUCUGUAUACUGAAGGAUGGGAUCUUGCUGAAAAUGCACCAGUGGAAGCCUGACUGCAAGACUGAGGCUGAAGGGGAAUUACAGUUGCAGAAUGGCUGAGGCUGACAGGUCCUCUGGCCUAAUCCUGGACUCAGGCCCAUGUCCAGGCAGCUGCUGAAGGGGGAGCAGAACCCACACACAGCUUCUGGGCAGCCUGAGAAAAUACUCCAUCACCUGCACAGUACAGAAGUGCUCCUUGGAGGAAACCUCCUGAGCUCCAGCUUGUGCAAACUGCAUCAUGUUUGGUGGCGCCCAGUGCCAGGAGAGCACCUGCCUCUGUCUUCUAUUGAGCUAUCCCUUCAGAUAUCUAUAGACAUUAAUGAGAACCCUUUGAGCUUCCUCCAGGAUGAAUAGAUCUCUUUUUACAGGAUCUCCGCAUAGUAGAGAUGCUUCAAUACCUUAAUCAUCAU